ACUCAAAGGAAUUGACGGGGACUUGCACAAGCGGUGGAUCAUGCGGCUCAAUUCGAUGACAAACGAAGAACCUCACCAGGGUUUGAAACCCAGACGACCGCUCUAGGAAACUAGAGCUUUCGCAAGACGGCUGGGCAGGUGAUGCAUGGUCGUCGUCAGUUCGUGGCUUGAGUUGUUCCCUUCAGUGGGGUAACGAACGCAACCCCCGUUGCCUGUUUUCUAUGUCAGGCGAGACUGCUCCCUCACGGGAGAGGAAGGUGGGGAUGACGCCAGAUCAGCAUGUCCCUCUGAUAUCCUGGGCUGCACGCAUGAUACAAUGGGCGCGACAACGAGACGCGACGGGGUAACCCUGAGCAAAUCUUUAUAAACGCGUCCCCAGUUCGGAUUGAGGGCUGCAACUCGCCCUCAUGAAGCCGGAAUCGCUAGUAAUCGCGGGUCAGCUAUACCGCGGUGAAUACGUUCUCAAGUCUUGUACACACCGCCCGU
Molecule: ribosomal RNA, 486 nt
Filed under: uncultured bacterium
Lineage: Bacteria
Description: partial 16S ribosomal RNA
Rfam family: Bacterial small subunit ribosomal RNA
Source: RNAcentral